GCAGGACCUGUUAGGUCAUCAUUUUGUUCUGUUGAUGAACAAGUCAGUGUAGCAUAUUCAGACUUGAUUACUUCAUCCAAGAAGACUCUAAAUUCUCUCUUACAACUGCAGGAGGCUUUGCUGGAGAAUAAUCCAUCUAUCGAUCAAUCCUCAAAUGGACGAUCGUCUAAGAAUAAUUUAUAGACAACCAAAUUAAAUGAUGAGAGUGAUGAAGAAUGGUCAUGGAUUUCUCAUAUGCAUAGGAGG
This is a non-coding RNA of Carica papaya (papaya), 246 nucleotides long. NCBI's taxonomy places the organism in Eukaryota, Viridiplantae, Streptophyta, Magnoliopsida, Brassicales, Caricaceae. The record is from RefSeq and is a predicted model, not a curated record.